UCUUGGUCAUUUAGAGGAAGUAAAAGUCGUAACAAGGUCUCCGUUGGUGAACCAGCGGAGGGAUCAUUACAGAGUUGCAAAACUCCCUAAACCAUUGUGAACGUUACCUAAACCGUUGCUUCGGCGGGCGGCCCGGGUCCUUCCCGGCGCCCAUCGGCCCUCGCGGGCGCCCGCCGGAGGUAAACCAAACUAUUGCAUUGUAUGGCCUCUCUGAGUCUUCUGUACUGAAUAAGUCAAAACUUUCAACAACGGAUCUCUUGGUUCUGGCAUCGAUGAAGAACGCAGCGAAAUGCGAUAAGUAAUGUGAAUUGCAGAAUUCAGUGAAUCAUCGAAUCUUUGAACGCACAUUGCGCCCGCCAGUAUUCUGGCGGGCAUGCCUGUUCGAGCGUCAUUUCAACCAUCAAGCCCCGGGCUUGUGUUGGGGACCUGCGGCUGCCGCAGGCCCUGAAAUGCAGUGGCGGGCUCGCUGUCACUCCGAGCGUAGUAGUUACAUCUCGCUCUGGGCGUGCUGCGGGUUCCGGCCGUUAAAAGCCUUAUUUACCCAAGGUUGACCUCGGAUCAGGUAGGAAGACCCGCUGAACUUAAGCAUAUCAAUAAGC
Molecule: ribosomal RNA, 599 nt
Filed under: uncultured Humicola
Lineage: Eukaryota; Fungi; Ascomycota
Description: eukaryotic LSU rRNA
Rfam family: 5.8S ribosomal RNA (bases 238-391)
Source: RNAcentral